UGGCCUCAGCUGCAUUGCAGCACCUUGAGACCAGGCGUCUGGUUGUUCCACACUCUUCCCGCUGCAGGCUAUGCACUUGGAGCCGGACUGCCUGGAGCUGAAUGGGAGUUCCUCCUUCUAAGCUGUGUGACCUCGGCGUGUGGUCCUGAGUCACCUGAAUGACAUGCUGAGGAGCGGCCCUGUCGCCCAGCGUACCUGGGAGGACCUUCGCUAAGGAGAACACCGGCCCGAGUGGCAGGUGGAGAAGCAGGAUGCUCCCGGGCACCGAGCGCCGAGACGGAUGCUUCCCGGGCAUCUUGGAUGGUGGGAUCGUGGAGUCCUCACAAGCCAGGACAAGAGGCACAUACGUCCUCACUCACGCUUGCAGAAAUCUGAGCUCCAGGGGAUUGUCUAAAGUCACGCCGUGAGAAGUGGCAGCACCCGACUGGGAGCCCUGAUCCGAGGCCCUGCUUGCAUGUCUGCAGUCUAGUCCGGGGACCGCGGAGCCCUGGAAACCUGGCUGGUCUGCACUGAGAGGUGCAGUAAGUGUAACUUACACACCCGAAUUAGCACAAAAAGAGGCACGAAGGCCAUCCUGCUUGUUCACUCGGAGGAUACUUGCGGGCAAAGGAAUCUUCAGACGCAAGAAAGUCAACCAGCUCUGGUUCUCAGUGACUUUUAGGAUGUUGUUUCUCUCAUACACUUUAUUUCUUUCUUGUGGUUUAUUUCAUCAACAGAGGACCUUGAUGUAAUCAUUUCC
RNAcentral lists this long non-coding RNA (739 nucleotides) under Equus caballus (horse). RNAcentral describes it as "lncRNA (ENSECAG00000047434.1)". The record is from RNAcentral. Lineage: Eukaryota; Metazoa; Chordata; Mammalia; Perissodactyla; Equidae.